UACGUAGGGCGCAAGCGUUAUCCGGAAUUAUUGGGCGUAAAGAGCUCGUAGGCGGUUUGUCGCGUCUGCCGUGAAAGUCCGGGGCUCAACUCCGGAUCUGCGGUGGGUACGGGCAGACUAGAGUGAUGUAGGGGAGACUGGAAUUCCUGGUGUAGCGGUGAAAUGCGCAGAUAUCAGGAGGAACACCAAUGGCGAAAGCAGCUUUCUGGGACGGUACUGACGCUGAGACGCGAAAGCGUGGGGAGCGAACAGG
Molecule: ribosomal RNA, 253 nt
Filed under: uncultured bacterium
Lineage: Bacteria
Description: partial 16S ribosomal RNA
Rfam family: Bacterial small subunit ribosomal RNA
Source: RNAcentral